RNAcentral lists this ribosomal RNA (253 nucleotides) under uncultured bacterium. RNAcentral's name for it is "partial 16S ribosomal RNA". It matches the Rfam family "Bacterial small subunit ribosomal RNA", at positions 524 to 776 of the family's 1533-position model. The record is from RNAcentral.
UACAGAGGGGGCCAGCGUUAUUCGGAAUUACUGGGCGUAAAGGGCUCGUAGGCGGCCAACUAAGUCAGACGUGAAAUCCCUCGGCUUAACCGGGGAACUGCGUCUGAUACUGGAUGGCUUGAGUUUGGGAGAGGGAUGCGGAAUUCCAGGUGUAGCGGUGAAAUGCGUAGAUAUCUGGAGGAACACCGGUGGCGAAGGCGGCAUCCUGGACCAACACUGACGCUGAGGAGCGAAAGCCAGGGGAGCAAACGGG